CUACACACAGAGCUAGAGUUACCUCAAUUCAUAAUACAUGGGACUGAUGGACUGUUACAUAGACACAGUGAAAAGACACUAGCAGGUCAGCCACCAUGGUAAACAUUGUAACUUGGUUACAUGGAAACAGUGAAAAGACACGAGCAGGUCAGCCACCAUGGUAAACAGGAAAACAUUGUAACUUGGUUACAUAGACACAGUGAAAAGACACUAGCAGGUCAGCCACCAUGGAAAACAUUGUAACUUGGUUACAUAGACACAGUGAAAAGACACUAGCAGGUCAGCCACCAUGGUAAACAGGAAAACAUUGUAACUUGGUUACAUAGACAGUGAAAAGACACUAGCAGGUCAGCCACCAUGGUAAACAGGAAAACAUUGUAACUUGGUUACAUAGACAGUGAAAAGACACUAGCAGGUCAGCCACCAUGGUAAACAGGAAAACAUUGUAACUUGGUUACAUAGACAGUGAAAAGACACUAGCAGGUCAGCCACCAUGGUAAACAGGAAAACAUUGUAACUUGGUUACAUAGACACAGUGAAAAGACACUAGCAGGUCAGCCACCAUGGUAAACAGGAAAACAUUGUAACUUGGUUACAUGGAGACAGUGAAAAGACACUAGCAGGUCAGCCACCAUGGUAAAUAGGAAAACAUUGUAACUUGGUUACAUGGAGACAGUGAAAAGACACUAGCAGGUCAGCCACCAUGGUAAAUAGGAAAACAUUGUAACUUGGUUACAUAGACACAGUGAAAAGACACUAGCAGGUCAGCCACCAUGGUAAAUAGGAAAACAUUGUAACUUGGUUACAUAGACACAGUGAAAAGACACUAGCAGGUCAGCCACCAUGGUAAAUAGGAAAACAUUGUAACUUGGUUACAUAGACAGUGAAAAGAUAUUAGCAGGUCAGCCACCAUGGUAAACAGGAAAACAUUGUAACUUGGUUACAUAGACACAGUGAAAAGACACUAGCAGGUCAGCCACCAUGGAAAACAUUGUAACUUGGUUACAUAGACACAGUGAAAAGACACUAGCAGGUCAGCCACCAUGGUAAAUAGGAAAACAUUGUAACUUGGUUACAUAGACACAGUGAAAAGACACUAGCAGGUCAGCCACCAUGGUAAACAGGAAAACAUUGUAACUUGGUUACAUAGACACAGUGAAAAGACACUAGCAGGUCAGCCACCAUGGUAAAUAGG
Molecule: long non-coding RNA, 1195 nt
Organism: Oncorhynchus keta (chum salmon)
Lineage: Eukaryota; Metazoa; Chordata; Actinopteri; Salmoniformes; Salmonidae
Exons: 10
Source: RefSeq, a predicted model, not a curated record